UACAUAGCCUGACUACAGGUCAAAUUGUGCUUGUCCUUCUCACUUCCUAUCUAGUUAGGUAACCAAGUGGCCAUAACUUGGUUAGAGGCUUUCCCCUCUCCAACGGCGAUAUUCCUUCUUUCUUUCGGUGAGUCAUCCAAAACAUUAUAAACCUAACGUUAAUGCACUUCAAUUUAUUCAGUUAACAAACUUCAGCUCAUGAACUUCACUUCAGUUAUAUAUCAGACAUUGUUCUAGGUCCUGAAUAUACACAGGCCUACACUGCAAGGCCCGUGGAGAAGAGGGAGCCAUCCCCCUCGGUGAGAUUUAUGCUGUUCAGAGGGUUCCUGCUUCUCGAUAUCCAAUUCGUAUUUAGUCCAGAUCACAUGAAAUCAACAUAUAAAUUAAAAGCUGUUUGAAUCUCUGAGAUGAGGUGCAACGUGUGACUUUUCUACUUGAAAGAAACUUUUCUACUUGAAGAAGCAAUAAUGCUGCUACUCUACUAAACAACCGACAGAAGAAAAGCUUUUUUCCGCCCGCCUUAUGGACUAUAAAAUCAAAAAGACUGGGAAAAUCAUGUCCGAAGUUUGACUGAGUUGAGGAAUUUCCUGACAUGAAAUUGGGUUUGGUUCCAAAAGUGAGAAAUGCACCGAUGGUUGCAGUCCCGAACAUUCUACACAUUCCAAGUAGAAAGAAGCAAGGAGAUGAUUUCUACUCGUCUGUGUCUCACUGUCCAAACUAAGUCACACGGCCGUGUUAAUUACCAGGGAAUCCGAGAAGGCAAGGACUUCAGUAAAGGAAAGGCUAGGAACCAGUUUUUACCCUUUUGGGGUAAUGUUAUCCCUGUGAAAAAUGCAUACCACAAGAGAAAGAGAAAUAAGACAACAAA
Odocoileus virginianus texanus is the source of this 868-nucleotide non-coding RNA. NCBI's taxonomy places the organism in Eukaryota, Metazoa, Chordata, Mammalia, Artiodactyla, Cervidae. The record is from RefSeq and is a predicted model, not a curated record.